RNAcentral lists this long non-coding RNA (1510 nucleotides) under Nicotiana tabacum (common tobacco). Its description in RNAcentral is "long non-coding RNA (NTAB_LNC015327)". Lineage: Eukaryota; Viridiplantae; Streptophyta; Magnoliopsida; Solanales; Solanaceae. The record is from RNAcentral.
AUACCCACUAAGGAAUUAUCAUAAUUGUAGUGAAAGAAAUUUACCAACACACCUAUGAGUCCACAACGGCACCACAAUGCCUCAAAUACGUAACAGAGCAUACACAAUGCUCGGGUGAUGUACAAAGGCAUAUACAAUGCCCCAACAUCAUGGCGCACAACCGUAUCAAACUCGACAUUAUGGCGCACAGCCGUAUCAAACUCAACAUCAUGGCGCACAGCCGUAUCAAACUCAACACCAUGGCGCGCAGCCGUAUCAAACUCAAUAUCAUGGCGCACAACCGUAUCAAACUCAACACCAUGGCUCACAACCGAAUCAAACUAUAAGACUCAACCUCAUGGUGCACAGCCAUAUCACACUAUCAAACAACUUAUAAAAUAAUAUUUUUUUCAUAAAAUAAUAUAUUUGCGGCUAGUCUAAGACCACCGACUCUGUCAAGCGCACGCUUGUCCCAACACAUGGACCAGACAGAGAAAAUACACUUUCAAAAAGGGUUUUAGAAAAGCAAGUAUCAAAGCUUAAAGUCUCACUUACCUCGCUAACGACAAGUUCAUCAACCUUGCAAAGUCUAGAACGCCAAUCAAACAAUCUCAAUGGCCUCAAUAUAUGCAAAAUAUUAAUUAACAAGGUUAAUUGUGCUAAUCGAGUCAAAUCUCAAUAUCCUUAAUUUUCAAGCUUAGAGUUGAAUUUUAAUAUUCCACCUAUCAAAUACCAUAUAUAUUUUUAAAGGUAAAAAUAUAUUUCAAUAUUUCAUGUGCAUAUCCAGUAUGCUAAUAUUCAUGUCCCGAAAUAAUAAUCAUAGAGUAUAAAUCGGAAACAACACAGUGGCGUAUAAAUCCAACAGUGUCCAAAACCUCUCGAAAACAUAACUGUUGGCUCAUGUUAAAAUCAGCAACUACUAUAUACAUAAUCUAAUAUUAUAUUUCAUUAUCAUUAUCAAAUCACUCAAGCUAAUCAUUAUGACUCCUAGGAAAAGGGUCAAAAUUGUGUAGUAUCAGUCGUAAUUCUUCUAAAAAAAAAUUCACAAUCAAACCUAUCCUUUAAUUGCUUAAUCUUUAAUAUGGGUUAAUGAUGACUAUAAUUUUCCAUAUGCAAAUACACCACUGUAUCGGAUGGGAGUAGAUAUACUACCAGAUUAUCCAAAUUCCUUCUACGAAAGAUUGCAUCCAUUGACCAAUUUAUAAUUCAAAUAGUAAUUGUCUUUUCAUUAUGACUACUAAGCAUUAUCAAUCAUUAGGUCGUUAAUGCCACGAUAAAUCUUACUAAAAAUAUCACAAUAAUACAUAUUCAAAGUAUAGGCUACUGAACCAAAGUAAUCUCAUUACCUGGAGCUCUAAAACUCAUGCUGCUAGCUUCCAACGCAGCCAGCGAAUUCCAGAAAGAAAAUCCUUUCCUUCUGUUGAAAUUUCCUUGUUAACAGCUAUAAGCCCUAGUAUACCUAAUGUCUGCUAGGAAAAUCUCUCGUGAGGGUGUUAAAAGGGUAGGCUUGGCCCACAUGUAUACCUUUUAA